CAGUAGCCGCGGUAAAACGGAGGGUGCAAGCGUUAAUCGGAAUUACUGGGCGUAAAGCGCACGCAGGCGGUCUGUCAAGUCAGAUGUGAAAUCCCCGGGCUUAACCUGGGAACUGCAUUUGAAACUGGCAGGCUAGAGUCUUGUAGAGGGGGGUAGAAUUCCAGGUGUAGCGGUGAAAUGCGUAGAGAUCUGGAGGAAUACCGGUGGCGAAGGCGGCCCCCUGGACAAAGACUGACGCUCAGGUGCGAAAGCGUGGGGAGCAAACAGGAUUAGAUACCCCAGUAGUCCCUGUCUCUUAUAC
Molecule: ribosomal RNA, 301 nt
Filed under: uncultured bacterium
Lineage: Bacteria
Description: partial 16S ribosomal RNA
Rfam family: Bacterial small subunit ribosomal RNA
Source: RNAcentral